This 253-nucleotide ribosomal RNA is filed under the name uncultured bacterium. Its description in RNAcentral is "partial 16S ribosomal RNA". It matches the Rfam family "Bacterial small subunit ribosomal RNA", at positions 524 to 776 of the family's 1533-position model. The record is from RNAcentral.
UACGAAGGGGGCUAGCGUUGCUCGGAAUCACUGGGCGUAAAGCGCACGUAGGCGGCUUUCUAAGUCAGGGGUGAAAUCCUGGAGCUCAACUCCAGAACUGCCUUUGAUACUGGAGAGCUUGAGUCCGGAAGAGGUGAGUGGAACUCCGAGUGUAGAGGUGAAAUUCGUAGAUAUUCGGAAGAACACCGGUGGCGAAGGCGGCGAGCUGGUCCAUUACUGACGCUGAGGCGCGACAGCGUGGGGAGCAAACAGG